This 649-nucleotide ribosomal RNA is filed under the name bacterium. RNAcentral describes it as "bacterial SSU rRNA". It matches the Rfam family "Bacterial small subunit ribosomal RNA", at positions 65 to 733 of the family's 1533-position model. The record is from RNAcentral.
GACGAUUCUGUGCCUAAGAUGCGCUCUUACGAAGGCUUCGGCCUUAGUGGCGCACGGGUGCGUAACGCGUGGGAAUCUGCCCCUCGGUUCGGAAUAACAGUUAGAAAUGACUGCUAAUACCGGAUGAUGACGUAAGUCCAAAGAUUUAUCGCCGAGGGAUGAGCCCGCGUAGGAUUAGCUAGUUGGUGUGGUAAAGGCGCACCAAGGCGACGAUCCUUAGCUGGUCUGAGAGGAUGAUCAGCCACACUGGGACUGAGACACGGCCCAGACUCCUACGGGAGGCAGCAGUGGGGAAUAUUGGACAAUGGGCGAAAGCCUGAUCCAGCAAUGCCGCGUGAGUGAUGAAGGCCUUAGGGUUGUAAAGCUCUUUUACCCGGGAUGAUAAUGACAGUACCGGGAGAAUAAGCCCCGGCUAACUCCGUGCCAGCAGCCGCGGUAAUACGGAGGGGGCUAGCGUUAUUCGGAAUUACUGGGCGUAAAGCGCACGUAGGCGGCUUUGUAAGUUAGAGGUGAAAGCCUGGAGCUCAACUCCAGAAUUGCCUUUAAGACUGCAUCGCUUGAAUCCAGGAGAGGUGAGUGGAAUUCCGAGUGUAGAGGUGAAAUUCGUAGAUAUUCGGAAGAACACCAGUGGCGAAGGCGGCUCACUGGA